AUGAACGCUGGCGGCGUGCCUAAUACAUGCAAGUCGCGCGAACAGACGAGGAGCUUGCUCCUCUGACGUUAGCGGCGGACGGGUGUGUAACACGUGGAUAACCUACCUAUAAGACUGGGAUAACUUCGGGAAACCGGAGCUAAUACCGGAUAAUAUAUUGAACCGCAUGGUUCAAUAGUGAAAGACGGUUUUGCUGUCACUUAUAGAUGGAUCCGCGCCGCAUUAGCUAGUUGGUAGGUAACGGCUUACCAAGGCAACGAUGCGUAGCCGACCUGAGAGGGUGAUCGGCCACACUGGAACUGAGACACGGUCCAGACUCCUACGGGAGGCAGCAGUAGGGAAUCUUCCGCAAUGGGCGAAAGCCUGACGGAGCAACGCCGCGUGAGUGAUGAAGGUCUUCGGAUCGUAAAACUCUGUUAUUAGGGAAGAACAAAUGUGUAAGUAACUAUGCACGUCUUGACGGUACCUAAUCAGAAAGCCACGGCUAACUACGUG
Molecule: ribosomal RNA, 495 nt
Filed under: uncultured bacterium
Lineage: Bacteria
Description: partial 16S ribosomal RNA
Rfam family: Bacterial small subunit ribosomal RNA
Source: RNAcentral